CAGUCGCCACGGGAAUACGAAGGGUGCAAGCGUUACUCGGAAUUACUGGGCGUAAAGCGUGCGUAGGUGGUGGUUUAAGUCCGUUGUGAAAGCCCUGGGCUCAACCUGGGAAUUGCAGUGGAUACUGGGUCACUAGAGUGUGGUAGAGGAUAGUGGAAUUUCCGGUGUAGCAGUGAAAUGCGUAGAGAUCGGGAGGAACAUCUGUGGCGAAGGCGGCUAUCUGGGCCAACACUGACACUGAGGCACGAAAGCGUGGGGAGCAAACAGGAUUAGAUACCCGGGUAGUCCCUGUCUCUUAUAC
RNAcentral lists this ribosomal RNA (301 nucleotides) under uncultured bacterium. RNAcentral's name for it is "partial 16S ribosomal RNA". It matches the Rfam family "Bacterial small subunit ribosomal RNA", at positions 509 to 807 of the family's 1533-position model. The record is from RNAcentral.